Molecule: long non-coding RNA, 420 nt
Organism: Amphimedon queenslandica
Lineage: Eukaryota; Metazoa; Porifera; Demospongiae; Haplosclerida; Niphatidae
Exons: 4
Source: RefSeq, a predicted model, not a curated record
GCUGUUUUUAUGAUAUUUAGAAUGUCACGAAAAGCUAUCAGUAUUGUUCAUGGUGGUAAACGAAACUCUGGAUGCUAUAUUUGGAGAUGUUGUUUUUGAAAUCUGCAUAAUUAGCAGAAAUUUUGGACCACAGAAAUAUCUAGCUUAAACAGAUAACAUUUCCCCAAGACUAGAUAUAUUAUCAACUCUUUAUUUCCCUUGGCACUACUUAAUGUGACACCAGUAUAUUUCCAGAAUGACAUUCCUGUCAAAUUAUUUUUAGAGAUGAAAGUAGGCUACAAAGUUCUUUGUAAACAUUAAUGCAAAACUCAACAGAGUAACCUGAAAUCAAAUGUGUGGCUAAACAAGCAUUUAUUCAUGUUUGAACUGUUUUUUUACAUUUUUGUUUGAGUUAUGAACAUUAUAAAUUGAAGUACAAUU